RNAcentral lists this ribosomal RNA (460 nucleotides) under uncultured bacterium. RNAcentral describes it as "partial 16S ribosomal RNA". It matches the Rfam family "Bacterial small subunit ribosomal RNA", at positions 338 to 795 of the family's 1533-position model. The record is from RNAcentral.
CCUACGGGUGGCAGCAGUGAGGAAUAUUGGUCAAUGGGCGCGAGCCUGAUCCAGCCAAGUCGCGUGAGGGAAGACGGCCCUACGGGUUGUAAACCUCUUUUGCCGGGGAGCAACAGGCGCCACGUGUGGCGCCACUGAGAGUACCCGGAGAAAAAGCAUCGGCUAACUCCGUGCAAGCAGCCGCGGUAAUACGGAGGAUGCGAGCGUCAUCCGGAUUUAUUGGGGUAAAAGGGUGCGUAGGCGGAGCGGUAAGUCAGGGGUGACAUGGAGGGGCUAAUCCCCCUCCCGCCAUUGAAACUGGCGCUCUUGAGUGGAAGAGAAGUAUGCGGAAUGCGUGGUGUAGCGGUGAAAUGCAUAGAUAUCACGCAGAACCCCGAUGGCGAAGGCAGCAUGCCGGCUUCCUACUGACGCUGAAGCACGAAAGCGUGGGGAUCGAACAGGAUUAGAUACCCGAGUAGUC